GUGGGGAAUCUUGCACAAUGGGCGAAAGCCUGAUGCAGCCAUGCCGCGUGAAUGAUGAAGGCCUUAGGGUUGUAAAAUUCUUUCGUCAGGGAUGAUAAUGACCGUACCUGAAGAAGAAGCCCCGGCUAACUUCGUGCCAGCAGCCGCGGUAAUACGAAGGGGGCUAGCGUUGUUCGGAAUUACUGGGCGUAAAGCGCACGUAGGCGGACUUUUAAGUCAGGUGUGAAAUCCCGGGGCUCAACCUCGGAACUGCCAUGGAAACUGGAAGUCUUGAGAUCAGGAGAGGUUAGCGGAAUACCGAGUGUAGAGGUGAAAUUCGUAGAUAUUCGGUGGAACACCAGUGGCGAAGGCGGCUAACUGGACUGAUACUGACGCUGAGGUGCGAAAGUGUGGGGAGCAAACAGGAUUAGAUACCCCGGUAGUCC
RNAcentral lists this ribosomal RNA (425 nucleotides) under uncultured bacterium. RNAcentral's name for it is "partial 16S ribosomal RNA". It matches the Rfam family "Bacterial small subunit ribosomal RNA", at positions 354 to 796 of the family's 1533-position model. The record is from RNAcentral.